UCCCUGAUAGUCCAGUGGUUAGGACUCUGCUGCCACUGCAGGGGCCAUGGGUUCAAUCCCUGGUUGGGGAA
Molecule: transfer RNA, 71 nt
Filed under: Ovis aries (sheep)
Lineage: Eukaryota; Metazoa; Chordata; Mammalia; Artiodactyla; Bovidae
Rfam family: tRNA
About the family: Transfer RNA (tRNA) molecules are approximately 80 nucleotides in length. Their secondary structure includes four short double-helical elements and three loops (D, anti-codon, and T loops).
Source: Rfam by way of RNAcentral